Molecule: non-coding RNA, 252 nt
Organism: Theobroma cacao (cacao)
Lineage: Eukaryota; Viridiplantae; Streptophyta; Magnoliopsida; Malvales; Malvaceae
Source: RefSeq, a predicted model, not a curated record
AAAAAGUGAAGAAAUCAAGGAAACAAGCUAGGUGGUGAGACGUCCGGAAAAGGCAAAGGAAUUGCGCCUGAGGACUAUUAGUCAGAGUUCACCCGAAAUCUGAAUUUUCGACACCUAUCAGGUGACUGUUGGACCCUAGAUCGAGGAGUCCCCGUAGUGCAUAUCCUGGGUAUGUGUCGGGCAUUCAAUAGUAAUCCCUUUCAUUGUAAAUGUCUCCGCUGGAAGUCAUGGGUCCUUUGUAUUGUGAAAACA